GCCAAACAGCUAGCUUAACCACCCCAACUAAAACAACAACAAAAACACCAUAACACAGCCAAAAUCAAAAAAACAAACCAUUUUCCCACCUGAGUAUGGGCGACAGAAACGGUCAACUAAGCAAUAGAGAAAGUACCGCAAGGGAAAGCUGAAAAAGUAAUGAAAAAACCCAUAUAAGCACCAACAAAGCAGAGGCUAAGCCUCGUACCUUUUGCAUCAUGAUUUAGCCAGUACCAAACAGGCAAAGAGACCUUUAGUCUGACCCCCCGAAACCAAGUGAGCUACCCCGGGACAGCCAUCUGGGCCAACCCGUCUCUGUGGCAAAAGAGUGGGAAGAGCCCCGGGUAGAGGUGACAGACCUACCGAACUUGGUGAUAGCUGGUUAUCUAAGAAAUGGAUAGAAGUUCAGCCUCGUUCUCCUUAAAUAAAACAAGUUACAUCUUAAUAAUAUUAUAGAAAAAUACGAGAGUUAAUCAAAGGGGGUACAGCCCUUUUGAUAAAGGACACAACCUUACACAAGUGGAUAAGGAUCAUAAACCACAAAAUCCCAGUUGUUUCAGUGGGCCUAAAAGCAGCCACCUGAACAGAAAGCGUUAAAGCUCAAACAACAAAAAAUUAAUUAUCCUGAUAAAUAAUCCUACUCCCUUAAAAAUAUUAGAUCGCCCCAUGUCAACAUGGAAGAGAUUAUGCUAAAAUGAGUAACAAGAGGACACCAUCCUCUCCAGGCACAAGUAUAAGCCAGAUCGGACAAACCACUGGCAACUUAACGAACCCAAUAAAAGAGGGCACAGUGAAUAAACACUAACAACAAGAAAAACCCACCUAAAAAAUCGUUACCCCCACACUGGAGUGCCACACAAGGAAAGACUAAAAGAAAGGAAAGGAACUCGGCAAACACAAGCCUCGCCUGUUUACCAAAAACAUCGCCUCCUGCAAACCACUAAGUAUAGGAGGUCCAGCCUGCCCAGUGACCACAAGUUUAACGGCCGCGGUAUUUUGACCGUGCAAAGGUAGCGCAAUCACUUGUCUUUUAAAUGAAGACCCGUAUGAAUGGCCAAACGAGGGCUUAACUGUCUCCCCUUUCCAGUCAGUGAAAUUGAUCUCUCCGUGCAGAAGCGGACAUACAACUACAAGACGAGAAGACCCUUUGGAGCUUAAGGUACAAACCCAGCCACGUUUAAUGACCCCCCAAAUGGCACAAACCCAGCGGAACUUGGGCUUUUACCUUCGGUUGGGGCGACCACGGAGAAAAACCAAUCCUCCGAGAAGAUAGGGCCAACUAAGCCUAAAACCAAGAAAAACACUUCUAAGUCACAGAAAUUCUGACUAACAAUGAUCCGGCCCCAGGCCGAUCAACGAACCAAGUUACCCUAGGGAUAACAGCGCAAUCCCCUCCCAGAGUCCAUAUCGACGAGGGGGUUUACGACCUCGAUGUUGGAUCAGGACAUCCUAAUGGUGCAGCCGCUAUUAAGGGUUCGUUUGUUCAACGAUUAAAGUCCUACGUGAUCUGAGUUCAGACCGGAGCAAUCCAGGUCAGUUUCUAUCUGUAACGCUACUUUUCCUAGUACGAAAGGACCGGAAAAGUGGGGCCUAUGCUAAAAGCACGCCCCCUCCUCAAUUGGUGCCACCAACUAAACCAAGUAACAGGACGCACAUUAAAUCAGCCGAAACCAGGCCAU
Molecule: ribosomal RNA, 1679 nt
Filed under: Ellopostoma mystax (enigmatic loach)
Lineage: Eukaryota; Metazoa; Chordata; Actinopteri; Cypriniformes; Ellopostomatidae
Description: 16S rRNA
Rfam family: Bacterial large subunit ribosomal RNA
Source: RNAcentral